RNAcentral lists this ribosomal RNA (495 nucleotides) under uncultured bacterium. RNAcentral describes it as "partial 16S ribosomal RNA". It matches the Rfam family "Bacterial small subunit ribosomal RNA", at positions 28 to 505 of the family's 1533-position model. The record is from RNAcentral.
GAUGAACGCUGGCGGCGUGCCUAAUACAUGCAAGUCGAGCGAACAGACGAGGAGCUUGCUCCUCUGACGUUAGCGGCGGACGGGUGAGUAACACGUGGAUAACCUACCUAUAAGACUGGGAUAACUUCGGGAAACCGGAGCUAAUACCGGAUAAUAUAUUGAACCGCAUGGUUCAAUAGUGAAAGACGGUUUUGCUGUCACUUAUAGAUGGAUCCGCGCCGCAUUAGCUAGUUGGUAAGGUAACGGCUUACCAAGGCAACGAUGCGUAGCCGACCUGAGAGGGUGAUCGGCCACACUGGAACUGAGACACGGUCCAGACUUCUACGGGAGGCAGCAGUAGGGAAUCUUCCGCAAUGGGCGAAAGCCUGACGGAGCAACGCCGCGUGAGUGAUGAAGGUCUUCGGAUCGUAAAACUCUGUUAUUAGGGAAGAACAAAUGUGUAAGUAACUAUGCACGUCUUGACGGUACCUAAUCAGAAAGCCACGGCUAACUACG